UACCAGCACCCCGAGUGGUCGGGACGAUUAUUGGGCCUAAAGCAUUCGUAGCUUGUCCUGCAAGUCUUCCGUUAAAUCCACCUGCUCAACAGAUGGGCUGCGGAGGAUACUACAGGGCUAGGAGGCGGGAGAGGCAAGCGGUACUUAGUGGGUAGGGGUAAAAUCCGUUGAUCCAUUGAAGACCACCAGUGGCGAAGGCGGCUUGCCAGAACGCACUCGACGGUGAGGGAUGAAAGCUGGGGGAGCAAACCGG
Molecule: ribosomal RNA, 253 nt
Filed under: uncultured bacterium
Lineage: Bacteria
Description: partial 16S ribosomal RNA
Rfam family: Archaeal small subunit ribosomal RNA
Source: RNAcentral